GUGCUUCCUUCGGCAACACAUACACUAAAAGUUGAAACAGCAUAGAGAAGAUUAACAUGGCCCCUGCACAAGGAUGACACACAAAUUCAUAAGUCACUCAAUGUGUGU
Pipistrellus kuhlii (Kuhl's pipistrelle) is the source of this 108-nucleotide small nuclear RNA. The record is from RefSeq and is a predicted model, not a curated record. Lineage: Eukaryota; Metazoa; Chordata; Mammalia; Chiroptera; Vespertilionidae.